This 442-nucleotide ribosomal RNA is filed under the name uncultured bacterium. Its description in RNAcentral is "partial 16S ribosomal RNA". It matches the Rfam family "Bacterial small subunit ribosomal RNA", at positions 338 to 795 of the family's 1533-position model. The record is from RNAcentral.
CCUACGGGGGGCAGCAGUGGGGGAUAUUGGACAAUGGGGGAAACCCUGAUCCAGCGACGCCGCGUGAGUGAAGAAGUAUUUCGGUAUGUAAAGCUCUAUCAGCGGGAAGAAAGAAAUGACGUUACCUUAGUAAGAAGCCCCGGCUAAAUACGCGCCAGCAGCCGCGGUAAUACGUAGGGGGCAAGCGUUAGCCGGAAUUACUUGGUGUAAAGGGAGCUGAGACGGUAAUUAAAGUCUGGAGUGAAAGGCGGGGGCCCACCCCCCGGAAUGCUCUGUAAACUGUGUAACUGGAGUGCAGGAGAGGCAGGCGGAAUUCCUAGUGUAGCGGUGACAUGCGUAGAUAUUAGGAGGAACACCAGUGGCGAAGGCGGCCUGCUGGACUGUAACUGACGUUGAGGCUCGAAAGCGUGGGGAGCAAACAGGAUUAGAUACCCUUGUAGUC